AGAGUUUGAUUAUGGCUCAGGAUGAACGCUGGCGGCGUGCUUAACACAUGCAAGUCGAGCGAAAAUAAUUGAGAGCUUGCUUUUAAUUAUUUUAGCGGCGGACGGGUGAGUAACGUGUGGGCAACCUGCCUUUUACUGGGGAAUAAUCACUGGAAACGGUGACUAAUACCGCAUAAUAUUCUUAGGAGGCAUCUUCUGAGAAGGAAAGGAGAAAUUCGGUAAAAGAUGGGCCCGCAUCUGAUUAGCUAGUUGGUGAGAUAACAGCCCACCAAGGCGACGAUCAGUAGCCGACCUGAGAGGGUGACCGGCCACAUUGGGACUGAGACACGGCCCAAACUCCUACGGGAGGCAGCAGUGGGGAAUAUUGCACAAUGGGGGAAACCCUGAUGCAGCAACGCCGCGUGAAGGAAGACGGUUUUCGGAUUGUAAACUUCUAUCAAUAGGGAAGAAAGAAAUGACGGUACCUAAAUAAGAAGCCCCGGCUAACUACGUGCCAGCAGCCGCGGUAAUACGUAGGGGGCAAGCGUUAUCCGGAAUUACUGGGUGUAAAGGGAGAGUANGCGGCAAGGUAAGCGAUAUGUGAAAGCCUUAGGCUUAACCUGAGGAUUGCAUAACGAACUAUCUAGCUAGAGUACAGGAGAGGAAAGCGGAAUUCCUAGUGUAGCGGUGAAAUGCGUA
Molecule: ribosomal RNA, 678 nt
Filed under: uncultured bacterium
Lineage: Bacteria
Description: bacterial SSU rRNA
Rfam family: Bacterial small subunit ribosomal RNA
Source: RNAcentral